GGAUCCUUAGCUCAGUCGGUUAGAGCAUCUGACUCAUAAUCAGAGGGUCGUAGGUUCAAAUCCUACAGGAUCCA
RNAcentral lists this transfer RNA (74 nucleotides) under Lacibacter sp. RNAcentral's name for it is "tRNA-Ile". It matches the Rfam family "tRNA". From Rfam's summary of the family: Transfer RNA (tRNA) molecules are approximately 80 nucleotides in length. The record is from RNAcentral. Lineage: Bacteria; Pseudomonadati; Bacteroidota; Chitinophagia; Chitinophagales; Chitinophagaceae. RNAcentral also lists the same sequence under 3 other names.